This 442-nucleotide ribosomal RNA is filed under the name uncultured bacterium. Its description in RNAcentral is "bacterial SSU rRNA". It matches the Rfam family "Bacterial small subunit ribosomal RNA", at positions 339 to 796 of the family's 1533-position model. The record is from RNAcentral.
CUACGGGAGGCAGCAGUGGGGAAUAUUGCGCAAUGGGGGGAACCCUGACCCAGCGACGCCGCGUGAGGGAAGAAGGUUUUCGGAUUGUAAACCUCUGUCCUUGGUGAAGAGAAGAAGACGGUAGCCAAGGAGGAAGCCCCGGCUAACUACGUGCCAGCAGCCGUGGUAAUACGUAGGGGGCGAGCGUUGUCCGGAAUGAUUGGGCGUAAAGGGCGCGUAGGCGGCCAUGCAAGUCUGGAGUGGAAGUCCAUCUUUCAAGGGUGGAAUUGCUUUGGAAACUGUGUGGCUGGAGUGCAGGAGAGGUUAUCGGAAUUCCCGGUGUAGCGGUGAAAUGCGUAGAGAUCGGGAGGAACAUCAGUGGCGAAGGCGGGUAACUGGACUGCAACUGACGCUGAGGCGCGAAAGUGUGGGGAGCAAACAGGAUUAGAAACCCCGGUAGUCC